AGAGCGAACGCUGGCGGCAGGCUUAACACAUGCAAGUCGAGCGCCGUAGCAAUACGGAGCGGCAGACGGGUGAGUAACGCGUGGGAACGUGCCUUCUGGUUCGGAAUAACUCAGGGGAACUUGAGCUAAUACCGAAUAAGCCCCUCGGGGGAAAGAUUUAUCGCCGGAAGAUCGGCCCGCGUAAGAUUAGCUUGUUGGUGAGGUAAUGGCUCACCAAGGCUACGAUCUUUAGCUGGUCUGAGAGGAUGAUCAGCCACACUGGGACUGAGACACGGCCCAGACUCCUACGGGAGCAGCAGUGGGGAAUAGUUGGACAAUGGGCGCAAGCCUGAUCCAGCCAUGCCGCGUGAGUGAUGAAGGCCUUAGGUGUAAGUCUCGUUUAGCGGGACGAUAAGUGACGUACCGCAAGAAAACGCCCGACCAACUUCGUCGCCGAGCGACGCCG
This 445-nucleotide ribosomal RNA is filed under the name uncultured soil bacterium. RNAcentral describes it as "bacterial SSU rRNA". It matches the Rfam family "Bacterial small subunit ribosomal RNA", at positions 26 to 520 of the family's 1533-position model. The record is from RNAcentral.